RNAcentral lists this ribosomal RNA (253 nucleotides) under uncultured bacterium. RNAcentral's name for it is "partial 16S ribosomal RNA". It matches the Rfam family "Bacterial small subunit ribosomal RNA", at positions 524 to 776 of the family's 1533-position model. The record is from RNAcentral.
UACGAAGGGGGCUAGCGUUGCUCGGAAUUACUGGGCGUAAAGGGCGCGUAGGUGGCCUUGUUAGUCAGGCGUGAAAUUCCUGGGCUCAACCUGGGGGCUGCGCUUGAUACGGCAGGGCUUGAGGGUGGAAGAGGCUCGUGGAAUUCCCAGUGUAGAGGUGAAAUUCGUAGAUAUUGGGAAGAACACCGGUGGCGAAGGCGGCGAGCUGGUCCAUACCUGACACUGAGGCGCGACAGCGUGGGGAGCAAACAGG